UACAGAGGGUGCAAGCGUUGUUCGGAAUUAUUGGGCGUAAAGAGCUCGUAGGCGGUUCGGUAAGUUGGGUGUGAAACCUCCAGGCUCAACCUGGAGACGCCACCCGAUACUGCUGUGACUAGAGUCCGGUAGGGGAGCGUGGAAUUCCUGGUGUAGCGGUGAAAUGCGCAGAUAUCAGGAGGAACACCAGCGGCGAAGGCGGCGCUCUGGGCCGGAACUGACGCUGAGGAGCGAAAGCGUGGGUAGCAAACAGG
Molecule: ribosomal RNA, 254 nt
Filed under: uncultured bacterium
Lineage: Bacteria
Description: partial 16S ribosomal RNA
Rfam family: Bacterial small subunit ribosomal RNA
Source: RNAcentral